Small nucleolar RNA from Eutrema salsugineum, 68 nucleotides. It matches the Rfam family "Small nucleolar RNA U49". NCBI's taxonomy places the organism in Eukaryota, Viridiplantae, Streptophyta, Magnoliopsida, Brassicales, Brassicaceae. The record is from Rfam.
GCCUGAUGAGGAAGAAAUCCCAAAAGAUAGGAAGUGCCGUAUGACACUCUUUACGCAGCGGCGGACUU